RNAcentral lists this ribosomal RNA (253 nucleotides) under uncultured bacterium. RNAcentral describes it as "partial 16S ribosomal RNA". It matches the Rfam family "Bacterial small subunit ribosomal RNA", at positions 524 to 776 of the family's 1533-position model. The record is from RNAcentral.
UACGUAGGGUGCGAGCGUUAAUCGGAAUUACUGGGCGUAAAGCGUGCGCAGGCGGUUCGUUGUGUCGGCGGUGAAAGCCCCGGGCUUAACCUGGGAAUGGCCGUUGAAACUGGCGGACUGGAGUGUGGCAGAGGGGGGUGGAAUUCCGCGUGUAGCAGUGAAAUGCGUAGAGAUGCGGAGGAACACCGAUGGCGAAGGCAGCCACCAGGGCUAACACUGACGCUCAGGCACGAAAGCGUGGGGAGCAAACAGG